RNAcentral lists this small RNA (431 nucleotides) under Arabidopsis thaliana (thale cress). RNAcentral describes it as "putative long intergenic non-coding RNA". The record is from RNAcentral. Lineage: Eukaryota; Viridiplantae; Streptophyta; Magnoliopsida; Brassicales; Brassicaceae.
UUCUCGAUUUCUUUUUCUUCUUCUUCCUCGAUUCUGAUCCUUAUGCAAAAUAAAAGAAAUUUAUCUCUCUAUCUCUCUCCUCGGAGAAAGUAUAGUGGAGCAAGAGAUGGUCUCUGUUUUCUUCCGCAGAGUUACAAAAAACACAGUCCGAACUGAGUUGCAUUCCCCAACUAGUAAGCCCCAUUUUGACAGGUAGUCUGUCAAUGUUUGCAAUCCAAAAGGUAAAGGCAUGUUUUGGGACAGAAUGCUGCCUUCUCCCAGAACUUUUCUUUUAGAAGGGCGAAGCUGAUCGCAAGUUAGCUUUAUUAAGAAGCUGUUGUAAUUAACAUUGUUCCAUUUACAUUUUAUUUAUAUAAGAAAAAAUAGUAGACUUAUACCUGUAAAAUGGAUAUGGCUCAGUGAAAAGGUGUUUGUAAGGACUAAUUUAAUUA